UCGAGCGAAUCAAUGGGAGCUUGCUCCCUAUAGAUUAGCGGCGGACGGGUGAGUAACACGUGGGUAACCUGCCUGUAAGACGGGGAUAACUUCGGGAAACCGGAGCUAAUACCGGAUAAUUUCCUUUCUCGCAUGAGAAGAGAUGGAAAGAUGGCCUCUCGCUAUCACUUACAGAUGGACCCGCGGCGCAUUAGCUAGUUGGUGAGGUAACGGGUCACCAAGGCCACGAUGCGUAGCCGACCUGAGAGGGUGAUCGGCCACACUGGGACUGAGACACGGCCCAGACUCCUACGGGAGGCAGAAGUAGGGAAUCUUCCGCAAUGGACGAAAGUCUGACGGAGCAACGCCGCGUGAGCGAAGAAGGCCUUCGGGUCGUAAACCUCUGUUGUUAGGGAAGAACAAGUACGAGAUUACCUGCUCGUACCUUGACGGUACCUAAUCCAGAAAGCCACGGACACGUACGUGCCAGCAGGCGCGGUAAUACGUAGGUGGCAAGCGUUGUCCGGAAUUAUUGGUGCAGCUGCUUUGAUAACUCUGAUGUGACAUACCUCGUCUCAUCCCGUGGAGGUUAGCUGGUCACUGAGGAACCUGAGUCCAGAAGAGGGAAGUGGAAUUCCAAGUGUAGCGGUGAAAUGCGUAGAGAUUUGGAGGAACACCAGUGCCGAAGCCGACUCCUCUGUCUGUAACUGACACUGAGGCGCGAAAGCGUGGGACAAC
This 717-nucleotide ribosomal RNA is filed under the name uncultivated soil bacterium clone S014. RNAcentral describes it as "bacterial SSU rRNA". It matches the Rfam family "Bacterial small subunit ribosomal RNA", at positions 62 to 773 of the family's 1533-position model. The record is from RNAcentral.